UACAGAGGGUGCAAGCGUUAAUCGGAAUUACUGGGCGUAAAGCGUGCGUAGACGGUUAUUUAAGUCAGGUGUGAAAGCCCAGGGCUCAACCUUGGAAUUGCAUUUGAGACUGAAUAGCUAGGGUGCGGAAGAGGGAAGCGGAAUUUCCGGUGUAGCGGUGAAAUGCGUAGAUAUCGUAAGGAAGACCAGUGGCGAAGGCGGGUCUCUGGACAGUUCCUGACGCUGAGGCACGAAGGUCAGGGGAGCAAACGGG
RNAcentral lists this ribosomal RNA (253 nucleotides) under uncultured bacterium. Its description in RNAcentral is "partial 16S ribosomal RNA". It matches the Rfam family "Bacterial small subunit ribosomal RNA", at positions 524 to 776 of the family's 1533-position model. The record is from RNAcentral.